This 899-nucleotide ribosomal RNA is filed under the name Wolbachia pipientis. RNAcentral's name for it is "bacterial SSU rRNA". It matches the Rfam family "Bacterial small subunit ribosomal RNA", at positions 71 to 1004 of the family's 1533-position model. The record is from RNAcentral. Lineage: Bacteria; Pseudomonadati; Pseudomonadota; Alphaproteobacteria; Rickettsiales; Anaplasmataceae.
UUUGUAGCCCUUGCUAUGGUAUAAUUAGUGGCAGACGGGUGAGUAAUGUAUAGGAAUCUACCUAGUAGUACGGAAUAAUUGUUGGAAACGACAACUAAUACCGUAUACGCCCUACGGGGGAAAAAUUUAUUGCUAUUAGAUGAGCCUAUAUUAGAUUAGCUAGUUGGUGGGGUAAUAGCCUACCAAGGUAAUGAUCUAUAGCUGAUCUGAGAGGAUGAUCAGCCACACUGGAACUGAGAUACGGUCCAGACUCCUACGGGAGGCAGCAGUGGGGAAUAUUGGACAAUGGGCGAAAGCCUGAUCCAGCCAUGCCGCAGAGUGAAGAAGGCCUUUGGGUUGUAAAGCUCUUUUAGUGAGGAAGAUAAUGACGGUACUCACAGAAGAAGUCCUGGCUAACUCCGUGCCAGCAGCCGCGGUAAUACGGAGAGGGCUAGCGUUAUUCGGAAUUAUUGGGCGUAAAGGGCGCGUAGGCUGGUUAAUAAGUUAAAAGUGAAAUCCCGAGGCUUAACCUUGGAAUUGCUUUUAAAACUAUUAAUCUAGAGAUUGAAAGAGGAUAGGGGAAUUCCUGAUGUAGAGGUAAAAUUCGUAAAUAUUAGGAGGAACACCAGUGGCGAAGGCGUCUAUCUGGUUCAAAUCUGACGCUGAAGCGCGAAGGCGUGGGGAGCAAACAGGAUUAGAUACCCUGGUAGUCCACGCUGUAAACGAUGAAUGUUAAAUAUGGGGAGUUUACUUUCUGUAUUACAGCUAACGCGUUAAACAUUCCGCCUGGGGACUACGGUCGCAAGAUUAAAACUCAAAGGAAUUGACGGGGACCCGCACAAGCGGUGGAGCAUGUGGUUUAAUUCGAUGCAACGCGGAAAACCUUUACCACUUUCUUGACAUGAAAAUCAUACCCUUAC